This is a long non-coding RNA of Symphalangus syndactylus (siamang), 91 nucleotides long. RefSeq lists it as uncharacterized. The record is from RefSeq and is a predicted model, not a curated record. NCBI's taxonomy places the organism in Eukaryota, Metazoa, Chordata, Mammalia, Primates, Hylobatidae.
UUUUUUUUCAAAAAAACUUUUUUUUUGUAAUUAAAAAAAAAAAAAAAAAAAAAAAAAAAAAAAAAAAAAAAAAAAAAAAAAAAAAAAAGAA